AGGAAGACGACGAACAAACGGCUUGAACUCAUCAGAAUCUUUACUAGACUCAGAAGAAGCCGAAGCAGGAUCCAAGGCUUCGAGCUCUGGAUCGACUUUGGGAGAGAGGAAACCGAUCAAGAGGUUUAAGAUGUAAGUCGCGAGACCAUACGAGACGACGAAGAAUCCGUAAGCGUAGUAAACUCUGUAGAUGUAGAUCACGGCGGCGAUUAACGUUACUAGCCAUCUUCGAACGAGGUGUGGAGCCGAUCUGUCGAGGUGAUUCUGAAACGAUUUCGAGAAUUCGAUUCUCCAUCGUGCAAGCGGUGAAUCGCUCAUUGUGUAUCCGUCUCCUUCGUUUCCUGAUUCGUCCUCCAUGGUCACAAUGAUCUUCGAAUCAAACACGAGAGAGAGAGAGAGAGAGAGAGAGAGAGAGAGAGAGAGAGAGAGAGACUCACACAACCCGAACCAAAAAAAUUACAGAUACAUACAACAACCUUAUUUUCCAGUACAAGAAGCCUCCAACACAAUUCACAAACCAACUUAAUAACACCUUACAAAAAAGGUUGAACCCAACGCUUUUAACAGAUCUAGGGUAAUACAUCCAAUCACUAUAGGAACUUUACAUUCCAAUUUUCAUAAGGUCCAACCAGACGUACUCGCUUCAAAGCCCACCAUUUAAAAAAAAAAAUACCAUACACAUCUCUUACAAAUGCAAACCCAAAAUACAAAUCAUAAAAUCAUACAAAAAAUAAUUAUGUAGAUCACAAGUAAAGUAAAUCCCGCCCGUAGGGCGGGCCGACUCUAGUUAUAAAUAUAAACUAGUUUUAUGUUUAUAUGGAUGGUUUAUAGAUUUUUGAUAGUUUUAAUGGUUUUUAUAUGUUUAAUAACACUAAGAUCUAAUCCAGUAACGUGACCGGUUAAUGGUCGAACCAUUUAUUAGAUCCAACCCGACUAUAUAACUAAUUCAUGGUCGAAUCCGGUUCAACCAUCGGAUCGGUCUGGUUUUAAAAAUACUGCUAAACACCCGUAUAUAUGCCUAGAUGUUUAGAUGAAAGAUAUAUGACCAAUAGUUAUCCAAACACAUGUGUUUAUGCCUAGGUGUUUGGAUCAAAGAUAUAUGACUAGUUCGGAUUUCUCGAAGUUUUUGGAUUAAUUUGGUUUAAAUCCUCUCAGGUUCAUCUAAACGGUUUCCACUACUUGUUUAGAUUUUUGAGUUUUUAAUCAGUUAUUUUUACUCAAAAGUAAAACUAUACACAAUUAUCUAAUAACUUAAAAGUUAAAAGUAGAAUUUAAUAUACAAUAAAUGACUAAAAAUAAAAAAUAAAAGUUCAAAAUAAAAAUGAAACUGAUUACUUAUUUAUUCAGAAAUGGUAUAACAGUGAGACAAAUACAGAUAAACCAGAUUACAAAAAGUCUGCUAUGUUCCAAAAUCACAGAGCUUGAAGCUGCUGCUUUGUUUGCUUGAAGCAAUCUUGUAAGAAGUUGUGAAGCUGUGAGGAGUACAAGUCAGGAAAGUUCCGGUAGUGUUCGACAUGAGGAGACGACCUGAAGCUGAAAGAAUGUAUCUUUCUUCCAAUCUUUUGUUGCUCUUUGAUCCGUAGCUCUACGGAAUGAGACGGAACAACUUUAUCCCCAGAGCUGUAAAGAUAAAGCUGAGGGCAUGGAGGAUGGUUCUCAUAGAGUUUCUCGAUGAUUUUCGUGAGCCUCCUGCGACACAAUAAUUCAAAUUUCAGAUUAAUCACAACCAGUUGACAAAUAAUGGGUGUAUAAAUAGUGUGAAGCAUACAUGUUGACGUCUGGGAUGUUUAAGAUGAUGGGGAAGAGUUUCUCUAGAGAUGAUAGCAUCAUGUUUUCGAUUCCUAGAGGUUCCUUCUUUUGUGCGUUUUGAAGCCUAAUCUUCUUGGCUUCUUGGACUGGUUGGUUCUGUGUUUAUGGUGGAGCUACGUUUCUUCAGUAUAGCUGCAGUAAAACCAGCUGCCAAAAUCUGCAAGUAGAACCGAAUCUAUAGUUCAUCUUCUUUAUAAUAAAAUAUACUCAUCGCUAUUUAUAUGCCAGUCGAAAUGAUGAUUAAGAUGUGUACAAAGACUAAAACCAUGAUUAAGUAGACAAAACAAAUGUCAACAUAAGGAAACUAAGAUCAUGAUCUGAGAUUUACUUAUUCAGCUAUUUUUUUUAUCUUGUAAUCGUGUUCAUCUUUGUAAACGUUGGGUUUGAUAUCAAUACGAGAGGUUACAGAGAGUUUAUUGAGAGAUCUGAGUUGUGAACUUAUCAGAAACUAGUGAGGUUGAAGAGAUUCAAUACCAAAGAAGUGCAAACAUUUGGAGAAUUACUAUGUCGUUCAGCAUCCUUAAUUAAGAACCUGAUGUUCUCUCCUACAUACAUGAAUCUGGUGCUUUUUUUUUUCUUUUUUUUUUUCUGAUCAUUUUGUUGUCAAGGCAUAUAACUGAAUCCAAGAUUCCCGAGUUGAUGAAGAAAGAUGUGGUUUUAAACACUGAACCUGCUUUGAUUCAAAUGGAGGGACAGACAAAGCUGAAAUGAGAACCGUAGAAACUGAAUUAAUUUGCACUCCACUAUAAUACUGAACCAACCAUGACUUUAAAUCUAUACAUAUAUGAAUGAAGUAAGAGACAACACAAUCCAAAUCCUGGUUCUGUGUAGAGUUGAAGCAUUGAGUGUAGCGAAGAAGAGACGCAUAUACCUUAAUUUAAAAGGUUAAGUAAACCAUCAAUGGCACUCAAGAGAGAAUCUGUUCAAAAAAAUCAUGAAAAGUUUUCGAAAAAAGAGCAAAAAAAAUUUGGACCAUUUCUCGAUUUGUGCGUGUCAUCCUUGCGCAGGGGCCAUGCUAAUCUUCUCUGUAUCGUUCCAAUUUUAUCGGAUGUCCCCGAAGGGACAAUCAUGUUUGUGACUCCAGAGAUAUAAAAACAGUUCGUUAGCUUCCAUUCUUACCGAUGUGGGAGGAAGAAAGAAACAGAAUUAUUCAUGUGGGCCAUCUGAUAGGCCAAUUCUUUGUGUGUUAUUAGUGGGUUCAAGUGGACAUUUAAACAUACCCAUAUCUCUCUUUUUUGUACAGCUGUGCUAUUUGAGGAGUCCGCUAUUUGAUCACUUCUUUCAAAAGAAUCAGAGAAAGGACAGAAUAUAAGAAGAAGAAAAAACUAAGUGGGAGAAAGAAACUAAGCGGUCGUUUGAUACUCUUUAAGCAUCUUGUAUUUCGUUCUGAUCCAUUCAAUAAAGGAGAAGUUACAUUCAGUUCCGAUCAACUAUCAUAACAUUUACAUACUGAACAAAUCCAUGAGCACUAUUAAAGACUUAGUGACAAAGUUCACAGAAUCACAGUGUACAAAGCAAGUAAACUCUAGAAUCUAUAGUGUGUUCUGAGUAAGAUGGCAUAUUAUCCGCUUCUCUCAGGCAAUUCAGAUCAGUGAUUUGGCGUCUGCAUUGCAAGAAGAUAUUGGAAGCUGUCAAACAUAACAUAACUCAAACAUAAGAUAGCUUUCUCAGUUCUGUUAAGUAUCAAGAACAUUGUUUUUCCUUUUACACCACAGUAUGCUAUAACAAUCUACUCAGCUUCACGUCUGAGCCGUAUUUUCAUCUCCUUGAGGUGAAUUGCUGCUACUAGGCUUAUCAUUUCCACCAUACCUCUGUCAAAAAGAAACAUCAAAAGUUCACAAAUCACAACCAAUGUUCAAGACUCAGUCCAAAUCGAAUACAAAAAAACAAGAAGAAGCCAUGAGUAGCUUUGUUACCUUCUUUCUAAAAUCGAAAGGAACGUAUCUGUACUUGACCAUGUGCACGAUUUGUCGUUUCAUAGUGAGAAAAUAAAGAAACAACCAGUAGCAAAGCAAGAUGGGCCAGAACACAGGCACAUCCAAGAACGAGAAGAAGGUCAUCACAAACGCUACAACAAAAGCCUUAGUAGCUGCAUACCUGAUACAUCACAGAAUCAAGAUCACUACUAUUCUUUAUUUUAAUUAAAAAUCUCAGAUCAAAUCGAAUUUGUGAGAAAUCUACCAGAACUUGAACUCAGGAAGACGACGAACAAACGGCUUGAACUCAUCAGAAUCUUUACUAGACUCAGAAGAAGCCGAAGCAGGAUCCAAGGCUUCGAGCUCUGGAUCGACUUUGGGAGAGAGGAAACCGAUCAAGAGGUUUAAGAUGUAAGUCGCGAGACCAUACGAGACGACGAAGAAUCCGUAAGCGUAGUAAACUCUGUAGAUGUAGAUCACGGCGGCGAUUAACGUUACUAGCCAUCUUCGAACGAGGUGUGGAGCCGAUCUGUCGAGGUGAUUCUGAAACGAUUUCGAGAAUUCGAUUCUCCAUCGUGCAAGCGGUGAAUCGCUCAUUGUGUAUCCGUCUCCUUCGUUUCCUGAUUCGUCCUCCAUGGUCACAAUGAUCUUCGAAUCAAACACGAGAG
Molecule: long non-coding RNA, 4393 nt
Filed under: Brassica napus (rape)
Lineage: Eukaryota; Viridiplantae; Streptophyta; Magnoliopsida; Brassicales; Brassicaceae
Description: long non-coding RNA (BNAP_LNC005712)
Source: RNAcentral